Molecule: small nucleolar RNA, 131 nt
Filed under: Anabas testudineus (climbing perch)
Lineage: Eukaryota; Metazoa; Chordata; Actinopteri; Anabantiformes; Anabantidae
Source: RNAcentral
AAGCACAAUUCAUUGUCCUGCUCUUCCACUUAUUGAGAGUAGUGAUAUUUCUGUUGUGCUAGAAAAAUAUUGGAGGUAAAUUAGCAGACUGGCUUCUUUGUGCCAAUUCUGCCAGUCCCCUUCACACAGUU